RNAcentral lists this long non-coding RNA (333 nucleotides) under Elaeis guineensis (African oil palm). RNAcentral's name for it is "long non-coding RNA (EGUI_LNC057095)". Lineage: Eukaryota; Viridiplantae; Streptophyta; Magnoliopsida; Arecales; Arecaceae. The record is from RNAcentral.
GACUUUUAUUCUACGAAUGGUUUUCAGAUGUCUUAGGAGGUGCCUAAGAGUCCUUCUGAGUAUUAAACUCAUCGUAGAAAAAUUAGGAGAAGAGAUAAGGAUUAAAUCCAUGCGCCACCCCUUGGAAGUGCCCCUUGGAAAUUUCAAAUCAGAAGAUAAGUUUUAACUUAUCCACGCCCCUUAAUCUCUUGCACCCUUCCUAAAGUUGGCACCCUCUAUCUUGGUCAUUGGAUGGGCUUCCUUCCAGAUCCAAAGGCAAGGGUUGAUGGCGCCAAUAAGAGAAGCUUUGUGACUUCUCAUGUGAACACCGUAAGUUAAGAUCGAAGAGUCCUU